CCCCAAAAUCGGGCCCAAAUUCCUGCAAAAUCAGCCCAAAAUCGGCCCCAAAAUCGGCCCCAAAUUCCUGCAAAAUCAGCCCUAAAAUCGGGCUCCAAAAUCAGCCAAAAAUCCCCCAAAUUAACCCCAAAAUCGGGCCCAAAAUUCCUGCAAAAUCAGCCCCAAAAUCGGGCCCAAAAUCGGCCAAAAAUCCCCCAAAUUAACCCCAAAAUCGGGCCCAAAUUCCUGCAAAAUCAGCCCCAAAAUCGGGCCCAAAAUCGGCCAAAAAUCCCCCAAAUUAACCCCAAAAUCAGCCCCAAAAUCAGGCCCAAAAUCGGCCAAAAAUCCCCCAAAAUCGGCCAAAAAUUCCUGCAAAAUCAGCCCCAAAAUCGGCCCCAAAAUCGGCAAAAAAUCCCCCAAAUUAACCCCGAAAUCGGCCAAAAAUCAGCCCCAAAAUCGGGCCCAAAAAUCGGGCCCAAAAUCGGCCAAAAAUCCCCCAAAUUAACCCCGAGAUCGGCCCCAAAUUCCUGCAAAAUCAGCCCCAAAAUCGGGCCCAAAAUCGGCCCCAAAUCCCCCAAAUUAGCCCCAAAAUCGGGCCCAAAAUUCCUGCAAAAUCAGCCCCAAAUUAACCCCAAAAUCGGCCAAAAAUCCCCCAAAUUAACCCCAAAAUCGGGCCCAAAUUCCUGCAAAAUCAGCCCAAAAAUCGGGCCCAAAAUCGGCCAAAAAUCCCCCAAAUUAACCCCGAAAUCGGCCCCAAAAUCGGGCCCAAAUCCCCCCAAAAUCGGCCCCAAAUUCCUGCAAAAUCAGCCCCAAAAUCCCCCAAAAAUCAACCCCAAAAUCUCCCAAAUUCAGCCCCAAAAUCAACCCCAAAUUCCCUCAAAUCGGCCCCAAAAUUUGCCCGAAAUCCCCCCAAAAUUCCCCAAAAUUCAACCCCAAAAUCCUCCAAAAUCAGCCCAAAAUCGGCCCCGAAAUUCCCCAAAAUCCGCCCAAAAUCGCCCAAAAAUCAACCCCAAAAUCCUCCAAAAUCCUCCAAAAAUCAACCCCAAAAUCCCCCAAAAUUCCCCCAAAUUUGCCCCAAAUCCCCCCAAAAUCCGCCCCAAAUUUUCUCCCCAAAUUUCCCAAAUUCCCCUCAAAUUCCCGAAAUUUUCUCCCCAAAAUCCGCCCCAAAUUUUCUCCCCGAAUUUCCCAAAUUCCCCCCAAAAUUCCCGAAAUUUUCUCCCCAAAUUUUCUCCCCAAUUUCUCCCCAAAAAUUCCCCAAAUCCCCCCCAAAAUCCGCCCCAAAUUUUCUCCCCGAAUUUCCCAAAUUCCCCCCAAAAUUCCCGAAAUUUUCUCCCCAAAUUUUCUCCCCAAUUUCUCCCCAAAAAUUCCCCAAAUCCCCCCAAAAUCCGCCGCAAAUUUUCUCCCCGAAUUUCCCAAAUUCCCCUCAAAUUCCCGAAAUUUUCUCCCCAAAAUCCGCCCCAAAUUUUCUCCCCGAAUUUCCCAAAUCCCCCCAAAUUCCCCCCAAAUUCUCCCCAAAUUCCCCAAAUUUUUUCCCCAAAUUUUCUCCCCAAUUUUCUCCCCAAAUUCCCCCAAAAAUUCCCCAAAUUCUCCCCAAAUUUUCGCCCCAAAUCCCCCAAAAUCCCUCAAAUUCUCCCCGAAAAUUCCCCCCCAAACCCCUCCCCUCCCCCUCCCCCAUUUUUUUGGGGUCUCCCCUGA
RNAcentral lists this long non-coding RNA (1674 nucleotides) under Catharus ustulatus (Swainson's thrush). RNAcentral describes it as "lncRNA (ENSCUSG00005008608.1)". The record is from RNAcentral. Lineage: Eukaryota; Metazoa; Chordata; Aves; Passeriformes; Turdidae.